RNAcentral lists this ribosomal RNA (432 nucleotides) under Panesthia sinuata. RNAcentral describes it as "partial 16S ribosomal RNA". Lineage: Eukaryota; Metazoa; Arthropoda; Insecta; Blattodea; Blaberidae. The record is from RNAcentral.
CUCUUCUUGUAGUGGAAUAUGAGGUAUAACCUGCUCAAUGAAUAUUUAAAUAGCCGCGGUAUAUUGACCGUGCAAAGGUAGCAUAAUCAUUAGUCUUUUAAUUGUAGGCUGGAAUGAAUGGUUGGACGAGAUAAGAUCUUUCUUAAAUUUAUGAAUUUGAAUUUAAUUUUUGUGUUAAAAAGCUCAAAUUUUUUUUUGGGACGAGAAGACCCUAUAGAGUUUUAUAAUUGAUAUAUUUUUUGGUAUUUGAUAUUAUGGAAAAUUGUAUUAAUUAUUUUGUUGGGGUGAUGUGAAGAUAUAAUUAACUCUUUUUAUUGUUGUUUAUGAAUUAAUAUUUUUUUGAUCCAUUAUUAGUGAUUAAAAGACUAAAUUACCUUAGGGAUAACAGCGUAAUUUUUUUUGAGAGUUCUUAUCGACAAAUAAGGAUUGCGA